RNAcentral lists this small RNA (877 nucleotides) under Pan troglodytes (chimpanzee). RNAcentral describes it as "processed transcript". The record is from RNAcentral. Lineage: Eukaryota; Metazoa; Chordata; Mammalia; Primates; Hominidae.
GUUCUACCAUCAGCUCCAAGUGUGUGGGGGAGGAGGGAAUGUCACCCUCUCUAGGACUGCAGACAUUUGUCGCUUGUCUGGUCAUGACAGCCAGGACAGGAUCACUCUGCUGCUGCUUCUACCCUGAGUUCUGAAUGGAUUUGGGGCUGCCAGGCAUGACAAGCUCCAGAAGUAUUCCAGGUGUACAUGGACGGAGGCCCCGGAUACUCGUACCCUGUCGACUGGUGGUCCCUGGGCAUCACAGCCUAUGAGCUGCUGCGGGGCUGGAGGCCGUACGAAAUCCACUCGGCCACGCCCAUUGAUGAAAUCCUCAACAUGUUCAAGGUGGAGCGUGUCCACUACUCCUCCACGUGGUGCAAGGGGAUGGUGGCCCUGCUGAGGAAGCUCCUGACCAAGGAUCCUGAGAGCCGCGUGUCCAGCCUUCAUGACAUACAGAGCGUGCCCUACUUGGCCGACAUGAACUGGGACGCGGUGUUCGAGAAGGCACUGAUGCCCGGCUUUGUGCCCAAUAAAGGGAGGUUGAAUUGCGAUCCCACAUUUGAGCUUGAAGAGAUGAUUCUAGAAUCCAAGCCACUUCACAAAAAGAAGAAGCGGUUGGCAAAGAACAGAUCCAGGGAUGGCACGAAGGACAGCUGCCCGCUGAAUGGACACCUGCAGCAGUGUUUGGAGACUGUCCGGAAGGAAUUCAUCGUAUUCAACAGAGAGAAGCUCAGGAGGCAGCAGGGACAGGGCAGCCAGCUCUUGGACACCGACAGCCGAGGGGGAGGCCAGGCCCAAAGCAAGCUCCAGGACGGGUGCAACAACAACCUCCUCACCCACACCUGCACCCGUGGCUGCAGCAGCUGAGCCCACACUUGUUGCUGCUCAACAGGACCGC